UUUUAUGUUUAAUAAAUACCUUAUUAGAUUUUAAACAUUUCCCAGGCAGUGGAUUGCAUUUCCCAGACCCUAUAGAUUUGAGUUGUUGGACAAGUUAGUGACCGCAGGGGGGCAACAGGCCCUCAACCAAGUGUUUUAUAAGGGGGGAGGGGAUAAUUUUGGCCCCCACAAAAAAAACAAUUUGAUUUCGAAACUAGAAGUAUUUGAAAUCAUAUAUACAUAUAAUCAAAUAUCUGUAAUCGAUAUUUUGAGAACAUUUC
This is a non-coding RNA of Paramuricea clavata, 260 nucleotides long. NCBI's taxonomy places the organism in Eukaryota, Metazoa, Cnidaria, Anthozoa, Malacalcyonacea, Plexauridae. The record is from the annotation of a GenBank genome assembly.